Molecule: ribosomal RNA, 305 nt
Filed under: uncultured bacterium
Lineage: Bacteria
Description: bacterial SSU rRNA
Rfam family: Bacterial small subunit ribosomal RNA
Source: RNAcentral
GGCCUACGGGGGGCAGCAGCCGCGGUAAUACGUAGGGAGCGAGCGUUAUCCGGAAUUAUUGGGUGUAAAGGGUGCGUAGACGGGAAAGCAAGUUAGUUGUGAAAUCCCUCGGCUUAACUGAGGAACUGCAACUAAAACUACUUUUCUUGAGUGCAGGAGAGGUAAGUGGAAUUCCUAGUGUAGCGGUGAAAUGCGUAGAUAUUAGGAGGAACACCAGUGGCGAAGGCGACUUACUGGACUGUAACUGACGUUGAGGCACGAAAGUGUGGGGAGCAAACAGGAUUAGAAACCCCCGUAUCCAGAUC